Mustela erminea (ermine) is the source of this 1170-nucleotide long non-coding RNA. RefSeq lists it as uncharacterized. The transcript has 3 exons. NCBI's taxonomy places the organism in Eukaryota, Metazoa, Chordata, Mammalia, Carnivora, Mustelidae. The record is from RefSeq and is a predicted model, not a curated record.
UUCAGUUUCUAGCAUCUCCUACAACUACUGUGUUUCACUGAAAGGGCUGACAAGCAAUGAAAAUAUCAGAAGGCACGACAGUGGGAAAGAGAACAGAGGUUUGAGCAACACCAAGAGAACGAUUCAUCAAUUCCCCCCACCACCACCGUCCUUGAAACCAUACGGACGACAAAAGAAAGGUCUACCCAGUGGACAAAAUGUCUAUACCUCCAGACCAGGAGACCAACUGCACAGUGGCCUUGAUUUCACCCAAAGUUCCACAAAAUUCUGACACUGCACAAAACCUUGACGACACUGUUCUAAGAGCAUCACACAACAACCCAGUGUGGCAGGUACUAUUAUUAUCCUCAUCUUCCAACUACAGACACUGAGGCCUCUGUGUCCACUACCCCUGGAAAUCGGUGGCACCAAGCAAUGACUAUCACCAAAUAUGGACCCACAGGUAAUUCCUGAAUUUCUCUUUCUAUCGACCAUUAAUUCCACAACUAGUUGAGUGAUGCCCUAUGGUGAAUCAGGCCCUGGAGAUACAGGAAAAAAGCGACCGGUAACCAUUACAGUAAGUGCUCUAUGAGCCCAUGUAUCACCAGUCCAGCAGUGAUCACAGUGAAGAAGACUCUAUAAUAAACAUUAAAACAACGGCGUUUUAUCUUAAGAAAUAAAGACAUUUACACAGCACUUAACUUUAAAAUACAUACAGGACCCGAAAGAAUUCCCUUGUUUGUUUUGGAACAUGUGGUACCCCAGAAAUUGUUUACAUGUGGUUACUGGCUGUGAGCAAAAUUAUUUUCAUUCCGGAGGUGCCCCAGUGUCUUAUAACUGCUACCUGUGAGAAGCAUUGUUCUCUUUCCCCCCAACAGUCACUGUGUGCCUUCUGUGCGCUACUCCCCAGCAAAAACAGGGGUCGACAGAGAAGAUGGCACCUAAAGAUGUGAAGGGGGAUGGGGAUGGGGCAGCUACCGGACACUUUGCUCUGAAGAGACCCUGUCUUCCCGGCUUCUCCUGCUGGGAAUCAGUCUCACUGCCACCAGCAGGGAAAUGAACCACCAAAGGGAAUAAAGGGAUUCGUCACCUCUAAAUAAAUACCAGUGACCUAAACAUUUUUGUGAGGAUUAAAUAAUAUGGUUGACAUUAAGGAUUUAACAAAAUUACGGUUAUAUAAUAUAUACAAUU